UAUGUGUGAGUUGUGGUUUUAGGGGUGCCGGUGUGGGUUGUGUAUGUGUGAGUUGUGGCAUUUGCGUACUGUGCAAGGAUUUGAUACUUCUAAUCAUUUGGGGUGGCUUAGUUUCACCUUCGUGGCCAAUAUUUUAAUAGGAAUUAGGAAUAUAAUAUAAUAUAAGCGGCGAGUUUAAAACGUUUUGAAGUAAGAAAAUUAUUGAAAAAUGUUUAGGAAAUUGAAGUGAACGAGGUUUAAUAUGUAAGAAUUUAAUUCGUAAUUUUAAAUUAUUUUGUAUUUAAAUCCCAUCAAUAGGUAGUUAUAUUUUUUCGGAUGGAUACAUUACUAAAUAUUCAUGCUGAGUUUCUCCCUCCCUUGAAUCUCAAACCAGAGGAAACAUAGAACAAUUAAUUAAUAGAUAAUCUUUAAUAAGUAACUCUUUGCUUAAGUCAGCAAUUAUAACUUGUAAUGACUUUAAUCAAUAACUGAAGUAUCUCCUUUAUAGUAAGGGGGAAAAAAUUGGCGGAUACCAUAUUAAUGCAAACUUUCCAAUGAGCAGAGUAGAUUAAAAUUCAUAUUAAGAUUAAAUUUGAUAUUUCAGUGACAUAAAUCCCGGAAAACCCAAAGUUUUGCUAUGACGGAAUCCGAUAAAAAGAAAAAUUUAUACUCGUAAUUAUACUUAAAUUAAAAUAUUAAUUUAAUAGAACUUUUAAAAUAUCCAAUUUCUCUGAAUAAUAUUCAUUUAUUCUCAUUUAGGGGGGAUUGGAGUGAGUGACGGCUUAUUGGGAAUCAAUAUCUCAAUGUAAUUAAAAGCUGCCAUUUUCUUUCAAAUUCCAAUUAGCUGUUUUUGCCAUCAAAAGCAGUAUUAGCUCCGUAUCUGAGGCUCAAUUAUUUGACAUUUCGUACUUGAAACGAACUUUUUCUCCCGGUUUUGGAAUUAAAAUCUCCAAUCUGCCUCGUUCUUUUUUGGCUUUCUGUACAUUAACUAUUCCUCUAGUUGAUGUAACAAUUUGGAAUCUCAUUAAAAAUACCUAGUUCAAUUCGGUGUCUAAUAUUUAUACAUCCUAAUGUGAUACAUAUAAUUUUUACUGAAUAAAGAAGACGAAUUCUUACUCUUCAGUUAUCUAGAAAUAACUUAGUUUGUUCUAUAUCGCAAUUCGGAAAUGGAAGUUUGAAUAGCUUCAUGUGAAGGAAUUGCAAUUGUCUUCGAAUCAAAAUGAAUGAAUUAAAGGCAGUAAUCGGUUAGAAUAAGGCUAGGAAAAACCUUUCAGAAAUAGAAUUGAAUUAAGCUACUAAGCAUUUGAGAUAAAAAAAAAAUCGUACUAAAUUAAGCUAUUUUGAACUUACUUGAAAUUAUUCAGAUAAAUUUCGUAUUGCAUUUUAUACUUAAGUAUAUAAAAAAAUUAUCUUCAUAACACUUAAAAAUAUGAAAUGAGUUAAGGCAAAGAUGUUUUUUCUGAAAUCAAAUUUGUUUAUUGUAAAGAAAAACAAAAGAGGAAUAAUCUCUGUAGUCCAUUCCCUUUUAAAAUUUAAAAAUUACUAACAGUUGCCCGCUCAAAUGUUUUUAUCUAUUGGAAACUUUCUAAAAUGCAUUAAAAUCUGCACAUUUAAUGUGGAAGAAAUAUUCAUAAUCUUUGAAUAUUCCACUCGAGUAGUUUCUAAGCGACGAAAAUGCUAUAAUCAUGUGGAUUUUACAUGGUACAGUCUAAUAUGACAGAGGAAACAGUGGCAGUUGCUCUCUUGUGCCCUCUUCUAUAAAUGAACAGAAUGUUUAAUGCAAAUUUGACAAGUCUUUUGUGUAAGACUAUCCAGUGGGAAACGUUUAAAUCAAAUAUCUGUAAUACUAGAAAGUUUCUGUUGAAUUCACUGGCCUUUUCACUCAUCAGUGAAAUACGUCAUAGAAGUCAUCAAUUUAACAAAAUCGCCUGCCGUUGUUGGAGCUGUUCACUGCAAAGAACACUUUUUAUGCUGUUCGCUUGAAACAGUGGCCAACUCCUGUAAGCAAAGCGACCGCCUUUUCUCUUGACGAAAAUAUGGAUGGCAGCUAUCUGGAUGGCCACGAAAUUUUUUCUUUCGUACAGAAGUAAUAUCGGCAUUGACAGACAGUACAACAUGGCCUAUAUCCAUGUCAUUUUGCUUGAUAAAGGCACUACGUCAACCACCAGUAGUGUUGCUUUCUGUUCCAUGCACUUGAUUGUCCACCCCAAAUAUGCUGGAUGCGAGGAAGUAUUCCUUACAGGUGAUGUUGAAGGUGAUGAGACAAUUCAAGGGCGCAGUAAGUUCGCUAUUUAUAUUAACAAAACGGCAUGGAAUUUGAAAACCAUUAAUUGGUUCAUCUAGAAAUUAAAUUACUGGAGGCUGCAAAGAGAUGCGAAACAUAAUUAUCUUAAAAUAUUUAUUGAAACAGAUGCAGCCCUAUUGGCUACUUACCAUAAUGAAUUACCGGAAUUCAAACGCCUGUCAUACGCGUUUCUGAGUAUAGGAUUCAAAGUAAUUGAACGUCUUAGAAUGGAAUCACCCAGUGACCCUCGUUAUGAGGGAAAUACUCCAUGGCCAGGAACCGUUUGAAACUAGAUUCCAGCAUCUACGCAGGACAAAAAUGCUUCUAGGUAAUUCUGUUGUCUCUGCAUGGCUUGUGGUAAACUUUCUAGAAUGACCAAAUUUAUUAAGUUAAAUGAAUGCCCUUUCAGUUCCAGCCAUAAAGUAUCUACAUAUCUAGAUACCUACUACACAUGUCCUGGAAAGAACGUCAUUGAAGUAAUAUCGGUAUUCUUCUGUCAGACAACUCAUGGCCGUUGAUGCUACUUUUCCGGUUAAAAAGUAUGUCAUCACCAUCGAUAAUACGCUUUUCAAGGUCCAAAAACGUCUUCACUAGAAAGCAGUUCUUUAUACGGGGAGGAUAUUCCCUUCAGAUGAGUUCGAAGUACAUGGAAUUCAAAGGCAUGAUCUAAUCUAUUCCGAUUCAGAUGUUGACUUGUUUUGUUCGAAGUGAUCCUGCCACAACAUGCAGUAUCUGAAGCUUCUAUCAAGUGCAAACUAGAAUUCGGAGCCACUACAGUUAAAAUGUUGAUUUCCGGACAAAUGUAGUUGGUUAGUAAAAUUAUAAAUGUUACACCAAAUCCAAAAUGUAUAUUUUCUAUCAAAAAUCAUCAGUUUGCAUAGUGGUGAAACUGUGAUUACUAAUGUAAUGGCAAAUUAUUUGAAAAUAUCAAUAUAUCUUUGAAGUAUUUCAUGAUCCCAUUUUAAGGCUAUGACAAUGAAUCUUACAUUUUUUGGGAUAUUUUUUUAAA
Argiope bruennichi is the source of this 3272-nucleotide RNA transcript. RefSeq lists it as uncharacterized. Lineage: Eukaryota; Metazoa; Arthropoda; Arachnida; Araneae; Araneidae. The record is from RefSeq and is a predicted model, not a curated record. The transcript is spliced from 4 exons.